This 433-nucleotide ribosomal RNA is filed under the name uncultured bacterium. RNAcentral's name for it is "partial 16S ribosomal RNA". It matches the Rfam family "Bacterial small subunit ribosomal RNA", at positions 29 to 507 of the family's 1533-position model. The record is from RNAcentral.
AGCGAACGCUGGCGGCAGGCUUAACACAUGCAAGUCGAGCGGGCACUUCGGUGUCAGCGGCAGACGGGUGAGUAACACGUGGGAACGUACCCUUCGGUUCGGAAUAACGCUGGGAAACUAGCGCUAAUACCGGAUACGCCCUUUUGGGGAAAGGUUUACUGCCGAAGGAUCGGCCCGCGUCUGAUUAGCUAGUUGGUGGGGUAAUGGCCUACCAAGGCGACGAUCAGUAGCUGGUCUGAGAGGAUGAUCAGCCACACUGGGACUGAGACACGGCCCAGACUCCUACGGGAGGGAGCAGUGGGGAAUAUUGGAAAAUGGGCGCAAGCCUGAUCCAGCCAUGCCGCGUGAGUGAUGAAGGCCUUAGGGUUGUAAAGCUCUUUUGUCCGGGACGAUAAUGACGGUACCGGAAGAAUAAGCCCCGGCUAACUUCGUG